This 1058-nucleotide long non-coding RNA is filed under the name Anas platyrhynchos platyrhynchos (common mallard). RNAcentral's name for it is "lncRNA (ENSAPLG00000021638.1)". Lineage: Eukaryota; Metazoa; Chordata; Aves; Anseriformes; Anatidae. The record is from RNAcentral.
UUCUCAGGUUCCCCACCACUGGAGAGGAGAGGCAAUAUUCAGAAAAAAGUAGCGUUUUAGCCAUUUUAGCUCAUCGCCUCCCGGCGAGCUGGGAAUGAAAGCAGCAGGCAGGGAAUUACCCAGGCAGCAGCUUGGACAUUGCACCCACUUAUUUUGUUGUUGCCGAAUUCAAAGCACUCGAGCCCCAAAGCGAACGCGUUUCCAGGUCCCCUUACACAGAAGGACCCCGCCAAUAAACAAAGGAUUUCCUUUUCAUAAGGAGAUUACACAGCCAAGAGUCUGAUGGAAGAUUAUCGAGUCCCAUUCUUGUGCCGAGCUCCCCCAUAAGAUACCAGCGGAUCUGAUAACGGGCGAGCACCAAAAAAAACAACUUUUUGGUGUUCUGAAAAGCAGCUCUGUGUGGGGAGAUAAAACUGUGUGCUGGGAACCAUGGGGAAGGUUAAUGCAGCUAACGUGGAGCUCAGGAUGUUGGCCAGCAGAACGAGCCACCUCUAAUUCCCCAGCCACCUAGCAUUGACCUCUCCCAACAAAAACCCCAUUUUUCCCCCAAAUGGAGACCCAAGCGGGAGGCUCGGCGCAGAUGGAGGAGGCUUAAAAGCGAGCAGCACCUGGGAAUUGACACCAGGGCCAAACGGGGAGGGGACAGGAAAGAGGAUCCUGCAAAGCCCUGGGGAUGCUGUGGGGAAACUCGCUGCUGGCCCAAAAACUUCCAAAAUCCACCGCUGUGGAAGCAGCAGCGCCUCUCACGCUCAGCUGGUGCUGCUGGGAUUAAUUAGCACCAAUUAGCUGAUGGAAGCAACCCAUGAGCCGGGACAGCUGAUAAAGGUAGGGCAAGAGGGAUGGGUGCAUGGCCUGGGGGUCAUGAGUUAGGGUCACAUCCUGCAGCCCUUUGGGCACCCAUUUUGGGGUCUCUGCGUGAUUCCCAGCAGGAAUGGCAUCGAUGGUCCCUGCCGCUGCCGAGCGGCGGAAAGGAGAUGCUGCCUGGCUGGAUGCGAGCGAUUAAAGCGAGAACGGGGAAAGCUGGAGCCUGCCUGGCUGGCUGCACGGCGUGGGCAUGG